CUUUUUUAAGCCUUCCCUCCCCUUCUUACGCCCUGUCUCCUUUUUAUGUUUCUUUGUGAUUGUUUUUGCAAGUUUGUUUUAAAAGUUCACAGCAUCCUUUCUUUUCUUUUAGACAAGGAGACCGUGAUCUCACCCUGACGCAUCAUUUCAUACUUGGGGUGUUUCAUCUCAUGAUUUCAAGAUGACCACAGGUGUUUUUAGGGUCCUCUUCUGUGGAGCAGUAGCCACCACCAGGGAAAGAAUGCAAGUCCCUGACAAGCUUCCCGAGCCUUCCUGGUGGGAUACAAUGGAUAUUGGAAGUGUGGGGGCGGUGUAGGGAGAGUAAACCUCAAACAUUGCUACAUUUUCUAUCAACCUGGUAGAUUUUUUUUUUAAUUUAUUCUUUAAUUUGCAUAGAGUCAAAUUCACUCUUUUGGUGUGUAGUUCUCUAUGUUAUGACAAAUGUAAAAAAGUCAUAUAGCUACCCCUGUAAUCAAGACUGGGGAUAAUCCAUUUCCCACCCCCCUCAGAAAUUUCCUUGUGCUCCCCUUUUGUGUCAAACUACCCACCAUUUGCCCUUGGUUCCCACUCCCCCAUGCCAGGAACCAAUGAACCACUGAUUUGAGCCACUGAUUAUUCUUCCCCAUGGUUUUGGAUCUUUCAGGAUGUGACAAAUAAAAUUACACAAUAUAUAACCUUUUGAGUCUGGUUUCUAUCACUCAGCAUAAUGCAUGUGAGGUUUAUCCAUGCUGUGCAUAUCAACAAGCUAUUUCUUCUUGUUACCAAAAAGUAUUCCUUUGUAUGAAUGUACCAGAAUCU
This is a long non-coding RNA of Sciurus carolinensis (gray squirrel), 798 nucleotides long. RefSeq lists it as uncharacterized. The record is from RefSeq and is a predicted model, not a curated record. Lineage: Eukaryota; Metazoa; Chordata; Mammalia; Rodentia; Sciuridae. The transcript has 3 exons.